This 1343-nucleotide long non-coding RNA is filed under the name Dromaius novaehollandiae (emu). Its description in RNAcentral is "lncRNA (ENSDNVG00000011200.1)". Lineage: Eukaryota; Metazoa; Chordata; Aves; Casuariiformes; Dromaiidae. The record is from RNAcentral.
CCGCUCGGCGGGAGCAGCCGGCAGAAGGCGGAGGAGGCCGACGGCGGGGCCGCCGAGGACAGGCGGCAGCAGCCCAUUCCCAGGAUCAACCCCCCGCCACCCAUCCUGCGCAAAAGGUCAAGCAAGACCUCGCCGAGCCUGGAGGCGGAGGCCAAGCCCGAGACCGCCGUCCACGCGAGCCUCCCCAGCCCCAGCUUGUCCAGCCUCACCGCCAGCUCGCCCACCCUCCCGGACCCCGAGGCGAGGACUCCGGCCCGCAGCGCUGCCUCCAGCACGGAGCUCGUCCCCGCGGGGACCUCCCAGCGCGCGCUGGCCAAGGACAGGACCGGAGAGAACRGACACGCGUCCCCCCCGUCCAGCACCCGUGACGCUGCGAAGGGGGAGGCCCUGGGCAGGGACCCGGCCGCCCCGGGCAGCCCCGCGGACAGCGCGCUGCCCUUCUCCCCGGCGGACGACACCUGCCUGCACAUCAGCUUCUCGGAGGAGGAGCUGUUUGAACCGGAGCUGGACGCCGCGCCGGGCCCCAGCAGGGUCCCCGCGUAGCCGGACCGCAGUCCCCGGCAGCCCCGUCCGCCCUCGCCGCCAGCCCGCGUGGGGCCGGGGGGAGCGGGUGCCUCUGCCCCACGCGGGAGGUCCCUCGGCGCACGGCGCUGCCGGAGCAGGACGCGACCUGCUCAGCCCCCGUCCUCGCUCUGCACCGGCUCUCGCUGCAUCGAGCCGCGGGGCAGCGCUUGCGCCCGGAGCCAUCGCCGCGCGCUGCGUCCCCGGGACGGGGCGGCCUCGGCCGCCGCCCGCAGCGCUGCUGCCCCGCUCCGCUUUCACGGAGGUGCGGUACGGGUUGGGCGUGCGCUGGGAAGCGCCAAGGGUCUGGGGGAGGAAAGGUGUGAGGACGACAUCGGGCCCUGGGGAAAGGCCCGGGCACGGCCGGACGGCCCGGGAGCAGGACGCGGGGGCCCAGGGCGGCGUUUGGCCGAAGGCGGGUUUGCGGACGUGGCGGAGGGUUGAGUUGGGAAGGUGCUGGGCAGCGGCGGAGACCAGGAGCAGCAGCUUUUCGGCAGCGGCGGGUGCACGAGCCGUUGGCGGCGGCRCUGAGCUGCGAGCUGACGGCAGAGGGCCCUUGUGACCGCCGAACGCGGCGCAGCGYGAUGCAGCACGGUGCAGCACGGCGCGGUGCAGCGAUGCCCCGGGGCUGCGCAUCCGCCUGCGGCACCCGCGGAAUCGCCAGCCGCGGUCAGGCUGUGCGUUAGCCGGGUAGAGCCAGACCGACCGGCGAUUAGGAGAGAGAAUACAGUGCAGUUUGGUAAGAGGCUUUUAAAGAGAAAAUAAACGUGUCAGACUUUCCA